AGAGUUUGAUCCUGGCUCAGGACGAACGCUGGCGGCGUGCUUAACACAUGCAAGUCGAACGGAAAGGCCCUGCUUGCAGGGUACUCGAGUGGCGAACGGGUGAGUAACACGUGGGUGAUCUGCCCUGCACUUCGGGAUAAGCCUGGGAAACUGGGUCUAAUACCGGAUAGGAGCCAUUUUUAGUGUGAUGGUUGGAAAGUUUUUUCGGUGUAGGAUGAGCUCGCGGCCUAUCAGCUUGUUGGUGGGGUAAUGGCCUACCAAGGCGGCGACGGGUAGCCGGCCUGAGAGGGUGGACGGCCACAUUGGGACUGAGAUACGGCCCAGACUCCUACGGGAGGCAGCAGAAGGG
RNAcentral lists this ribosomal RNA (349 nucleotides) under uncultured Corynebacteriaceae bacterium. RNAcentral describes it as "bacterial SSU rRNA". It matches the Rfam family "Bacterial small subunit ribosomal RNA", at positions 8 to 359 of the family's 1533-position model. Lineage: Bacteria; Bacillati; Actinomycetota; Actinomycetes; Mycobacteriales; Corynebacteriaceae. The record is from RNAcentral.